Molecule: long non-coding RNA, 2372 nt
Filed under: Homo sapiens (human)
Lineage: Eukaryota; Metazoa; Chordata; Mammalia; Primates; Hominidae
Description: HSALNT0360957
Source: RNAcentral
UCCUCUUUGGCUCUGGGAAUUUCUCCUCCCACGUGGAGGCCCCCACAGCAGUGGACACCACCCAGCCAGGCCCACCUGACCGGUCAGGCUCAAACCCUCUGGUACCCGCCCCACCCAUAGGACCAGGUGUAAACCAGGCAGCGACACCCCAGACGUGUGGUCUUGGUCAGCUCCCCUGGGCUCCUCUCCCUCCAGCUGGCCCUUCUCUGCCCAGGAAACAGUUUUCUGAAGAGUUCUCCGUUCUCGAGCCUUCCAGCUGCGUGGGAGAGAGUUGACCCCAAGGCUGGGACCACAAGAGGCCAGGGAGGGUGGGCCUGGGAUCUGCAGCUCACGGGCUGUGUGACUGUGGGCACGAGAUUUCAUUUCCUGAUUCAUAAAGGUGGGGACCGAUCAAAGCUACUCCUUGGACCUUUGUGAAGAUUAAAUGAGUUCAACACGGAGCAUUCUUGACCCAUGGGCCAUCCCCAGAUGAGGCUGCAGCAUUGCCCCGUGUGCUCUCAGCUGGUGCCAGUGUUGUCUGGAACUGUCUGGACCUACCUGGAAACUGAGUAUUUCUCUGAAGAAGUCUGCAGCCCUUUGGCAGCGUGGCUGCAGAUGGAAGGAAGGAAACAGUUCGCCCUGGAGAAUGGCUAGGCAGCACCUCUGAGCCGAGCAUCCCACCCGCUCUGACUGGCCCACAAUCGUGGGGCCAGUGGUAUCUCAGAGCCCUUCUGUAAGGAGGUCUGGUCCCCCGGCAUUCAGGGGUUCUGAGCUGCUCAGUUCUGGGAUAUGGGGAAAAGCCAGGAUUCUCCACCAUGCUGGCUGACGCCAUUUCUCUGUUCACCAGACCUACAGGGUUUUGUCACUUACAGUGAUUGCCAUGGUCUGAAUGCUUGUGUCCUCCUCGAAAGUUCUGACAGCUCACUUCAUUUCACGUGGUGUGCAAGCUUCUGUCAAACAACGGAACAAACUAUGAGAACCACUUCCAGCCACUGCUUCUGCACACUUCUCUGCUAAGUGAGUCUCUGCUGUGUGAGUCUCAUUGGUAAAACUACCCUGAUCUAACAUUCUGUUACCUCCUUUGUGGUCCAACACUCCAAGAGUCCACGGCCUCAGACGCCCCUGGGUUUCUGCUGAUGUAAAUUGGCAAAAACUUGCAUUCAGUGUGUAUGUGGCUCCUCUUGGGUCUCACUGUGUGUUUAUCCCUCUGCACCCAACUCUAGUCAUGGCUCUGGGAAUAAUGAGGGUCGGUGGAGGUGGAUCUCAAGGGAGAUCUGUCAUCUUGCAAGGCUGUUUCCUCAAGUGAAGCCAUCACAGAUCUUUGGGCACAGUUUUACUCACCUCAGACUCUAAGGAAGAGUCACUUCUGCUUACAGGGAGACUCAGGAAGGUCUAAUGUUCAGGGGACUCAGAGUCAGAGAAAUCCACCCUCUCCAGUUCUCGAGGUCUCAUUCUUUCCAAAUAAAUGCCUUAACUUUGACUUAAGAGAUUUAGUAAGACAUUUAAUUAUUCUUUAGUUGUAAUUCAUUAGCCUGCAAGAUCAAAUUUGUACUCUGCAUUUAAAAAAAAAAGUUGACUCUACAGCUACAAGAACUAAAAUGGUUUUUUUAGGACAGCUAUAGAAGGGCUCUGGUUCUCUGUCUAUACCUUCAGCUGAGCACUUAAGGCCACAGCUUGUCAUUUUCUUUGUCAGUUCCCCAGUGCAAUAAGCAGCAGCCACCCCAUGCCACAUCCUUGUAUGCAUGGUUUCCAUCCACAUCCUAAUGUCCUAUUGCAAGAGCCCCCUGGUGUCUGAAACCCAGGCUUGUGAUGGGCACUGCAUCGCAGAGACCUCAAGGUAAUGAUUUUACCAGUGACAAUGUUUAUAGAUUAUCUGCAUCCUGCUUCCCACUCCUCACGUGGUCCUCACUGACAUCAGACAAAACCUGGUCUGUCCAAUUACUAACUCCAGAUUCCCAUCUUCAAGGUUCUGCCUUCCUGGAAACACUGCUGGUACCAGGAAUGGUUGGUCGGGAACACUAAAGUCACUCUAGGUAUUUUGGGUAGAAGGAGAUUCAUUGCAGGGAACUCUAGGCUUACAGAAAUGUUGAGAACUUUGGGGACUGAAGGUUAUUUCAGGAGAUCUGGAAGUGCAGGGAUAGAAGGGUAGCAUCCAUUGCCCCCUGAUAACUGUACCACUGACAUGGCUAGAAACCACCCCAGUGAUCCCAGCUGCUUGUAGCACCUCAGGGUGAUUCUCAAACUGACUCCAGAAGCCAAGGUACACUGCUGCCAAUGACUGCAGGGGCCUCUGCAAAACGGACGUUGAUGAAUGAAACAAAGUGUGAUCUACCCAUAGCAGGGAAUGUUAUUCAUCCUUAAAAAGGAAGGAAAUCCUGCAGCUCACGCCUGUC